GGUAGCGUGUCCGAGCGGCCGAAGGUGCGACACUCGAAAUGUCGUGUAGGGCAACCCCCUACCGUGGGUUCAAAUCCCACCGCUACCGCCA
RNAcentral lists this transfer RNA (91 nucleotides) under Brevibacterium yomogidense. Its description in RNAcentral is "tRNA-Ser". It matches the Rfam family "tRNA". From Rfam's summary of the family: Transfer RNA (tRNA) molecules are approximately 80 nucleotides in length. Their secondary structure includes four short double-helical elements and three loops (D, anti-codon, and T loops). Lineage: Bacteria; Bacillati; Actinomycetota; Actinomycetes; Micrococcales; Brevibacteriaceae. The record is from RNAcentral. RNAcentral also lists the same sequence under 2 other names.